This 484-nucleotide ribosomal RNA is filed under the name uncultured bacterium. RNAcentral's name for it is "partial 16S ribosomal RNA". It matches the Rfam family "Bacterial small subunit ribosomal RNA", at positions 30 to 507 of the family's 1533-position model. The record is from RNAcentral.
AUUGAACGCUGGCGGCAGGCCUAACACAUGCAGGUCGAGCGGAUGAAGGGAGCUUGCUCCUGGAUUCAGCGGCGGACGGGUGAGUAAUGCCUAGGAAUCUGCCUGGUAGUGGGGGAUAACGUCCGGAAACGGGCGCUAAUACCGCAUACGUCCUGAGGGAGAAAGUGGGGGAUCUUCGGACCUCACGCUAUCAGAUGAGCCUAGGUCGGAUUAGCUAGUUGGUGGGGUAAAGGCCUACCAAGGCGACGAUCCGUAACUGGUCUGAGAGGAUGAUCAGUCACACUGGAACUGAGACACGGUCCAGACUCCUACGGGAGGCAGCAGUGGGGAAUAUUUGACAAUGGGCGAAAGCCUGAUCCAGCCAUGCCGCGUGUGUGAAGAAGGUCUUCGGAUUGUAAAGCACUUUAAGUUGGGAGGAAGGGCAGUAAGUUAAUACCUUGCUGUUUUGACGUUACCAACAGAAUAAGCACCGGCUAACUUCGUG